CUUAACACCAUCAGUGGAGCGUAUCCAAUGGCUCCCCAUAUUCCAGCCAGAGGGACCCAGUCAAAAUCACCGCACCUAUAUAAGAUCUCGUCAGGAAUCAACCACGGAGCCCUCCAUUCAACGUCUUCGGUCCGUAAAUUUUGGAGAAUAGUUAUCCACCUCUCUUCGGAGAUGUCGUCCCGCCUCGAUGUGGCCACUAAUUCUCUUAAUGGGGAAUAAUCCUUAAAGAAUACCCG
Molecule: long non-coding RNA, 236 nt
Filed under: Gossypium barbadense (sea-island cotton)
Lineage: Eukaryota; Viridiplantae; Streptophyta; Magnoliopsida; Malvales; Malvaceae
Description: long non-coding RNA (GBAR_LNC010100)
Source: RNAcentral